CUCCUUCCCUGUCUCUCUCUCUCUCUCUCUCUCUCUCUCAAACCCCUUGUCAUCUCUGUCACAGCCAUUCGAAGAAUGAUGCAGGGGUACCGUAGACAAUGGAAACGAUCGUUCACGGCUAGGAUUGACCCUCACCUCGAAGGGUGUGGGGCAUCUUGAUCAGGCGAGGUAUUGGCUGCAGGUCAUCCGUUAGUGGUUUGGAGCUAUUGGGUUUUUUCGGUCAUUUUGUUGGCAACAGGGAGUAUGAGACAAGAAACUACAGUUUUGAGUAAGUGAACCAAGCUAUGGCUGAACAGCUUGCAACGUGCCAGAACUGCAAGGGGAGCCUGAAGAGAUUUCUAGAGAGAAGGCCCGUUUGGCUGCAAAAGAGACCUUUGCGGCAAACAGAUGGUACUCUUAUGCUGGAUGUGUUUUACCAUAGACUGACUGACUGACUGCUCAGAAAGG
This is a long non-coding RNA of Magnolia sinica, 447 nucleotides long. RefSeq lists it as uncharacterized. The record is from RefSeq and is a predicted model, not a curated record. The transcript is spliced from 6 exons. NCBI's taxonomy places the organism in Eukaryota, Viridiplantae, Streptophyta, Magnoliopsida, Magnoliales, Magnoliaceae.